Molecule: long non-coding RNA, 740 nt
Filed under: Rattus norvegicus (Norway rat)
Lineage: Eukaryota; Metazoa; Chordata; Mammalia; Rodentia; Muridae
Description: long non-coding RNA NONRATT008596
Source: RNAcentral
GAUUAUAACUGAGUGCUUUCAAUGAUUAAGAAAGAUGUAGGAGAAAAUAACAACCAGAUCUAAGGAUGCAUAACUUUCUAAAAUAUAUUUAGUCAUUGAACAUUGAACCAUUUCUUGCUGAUAUGUGUUGGCUUAAUUGUCUAAUGUUCCUACAUUUUUAAAAUUCACUUAAGCAAAGAAAAACAUUGAAAUAAUUUUCAAGACCAAAAUGACUUAAAGUUUGAACAGAUGAUGGCAGGUAAUUUUGUAGAUUCAUAACAUUAUAAACCUUGAUGUUUGUGCUAUACAAUUAUGUGGGUUAAUAUUUUAACAUAAGUAAUAUGUGUUUAAUUGAUUUCAUUAUCUGUAAACCUGCCCCUUUACCCCUACUUUUGGUGUUUUAUACCAUUUUCCAGUUGCUUAAGAAAGAAAACAGAAGAACAACCAUAGACAGAAGUCUCCAUGCUUAAUAAAGGCGUUUGGGCUAUGGCGGUUGGAAUAAUUUUGUCAUGCACCUCAUCUUUGGGUUACAGUAUUGGCAAUUUGUGUGCUACUAUAUGAACCCAAGAUGGAGAAUUCUGGCCCAUUUAAUAUUCGUGCUCACUUUUACAAGUGCACCUAAGAGACUUGGGAUCCUCCAAUUUCAACAACAGGAAAUCUUCCUUCUGCUCUGAUAACUUUGUUCUAAGAUCUGGCUCUGCGAUGUUAAAUAAUAAGGAUAUAUCUAUAAUUCUCAUGUGUACUCAAUACCCCACUACCAC